Molecule: ribosomal RNA, 2901 nt
Filed under: Escherichia coli
Lineage: Bacteria; Pseudomonadati; Pseudomonadota; Gammaproteobacteria; Enterobacterales; Enterobacteriaceae
Description: 23S ribosomal RNA
Rfam family: Bacterial large subunit ribosomal RNA
Source: RNAcentral
UUAAGCGACUAAGCGUACACGGUGGAUGCCCUGGCAGUCAGAGGCGAUGAAGGACGUGCUAAUCUGCGAUAAGCGUCGGUAAGGUGAUAUGAACCGUUAUAACCGGCGAUUUCCGAAUGGGGAAACCCAGUGUGAUUCGUCACACUAUCAUUAACUGAAUCCAUAGGUUAAUGAGGCGAACCGGGGGAACUGAAACAUCUAAGUACCCCGAGGAAAAGAAAUCAACCGAGAUUCCCCCAGUAGCGGCGAGCGAACGGGGAGCAGCCCAGAGCCUGAAUCAGUGUGUGUGUUAGUGGAAGCGUCUGGAAAGGCGCGCGAUACAGGGUGACAGCCCCGUACACAAAAAUGCACAUGCUGUGAGCUCGAUGAGUAGGGCGGGACACGUGGUAUCCUGUCUGAAUAUGGGGGGACCAUCCUCCAAGGCUAAAUACUCCUGACUGACCGAUAGUGAACCAGUACCGUGAGGGAAAGGCGAAAAGAACCCCGGCGAGGGGAGUGAAAAAGAACCUGAAACCGUGUACGUACAAGCAGUGGGAGCACGCUUAGGCGUGUGACUGCGUACCUUUUGUAUAAUGGGUCAGCGACUUAUAUUCUGUAGCAAGGUUAACCGAAUAGGGGAGCCGAAGGGAAACCGAGUCUUAACUGGGCGUUAAGUUGCAGGGUAUAGACCCGAAACCCGGUGAUCUAGCCAUGGGCAGGUUGAAGGUUGGGUAACACUAACUGGAGGACCGAACCGACUAAUGUUGAAAAAUUAGCGGAUGACUUGUGGCUGGGGGUGAAAGGCCAAUCAAACCGGGAGAUAGCUGGUUCUCCCCGAAAGCUAUUUAGGUAGCGCCUCGUGAAUUCAUCUCCGGGGGUAGAGCACUGUUUCGGCAAGGGGGUCAUCCCGACUUACCAACCCGAUGCAAACUGCGAAUACCGGAGAAUGUUAUCACGGGAGACACACGGCGGGUGCUAACGUCCGUCGUGAAGAGGGAAACAACCCAGACCGCCAGCUAAGGUCCCAAAGUCAUGGUUAAGUGGGAAACGAUGUGGGAAGGCCCAGACAGCCAGGAUGUUGGCUUAGAAGCAGCCAUCAUUUAAAGAAAGCGUAAUAGCUCACUGGUCGAGUCGGCCUGCGCGGAAGAUGUAACGGGGCUAAACCAUGCACCGAAGCUGCGGCAGCGACGCUGAUGCGUUGUUGGGUAGGGGAGCGUUCUGUAAGCCUGCGAAGGUGUGCUGUGAGGCAUGCUGGAGGUAUCAGAAGUGCGAAUGCUGACAUAAGUAACGAUAAAGCGGGUGAAAAGCCCGCUCGCCGGAAGACCAAGGGUUCCUGUCCAACGUUAAUCGGGGCAGGGUGAGUCGACCCCUAAGGCGAGGCCGAAAGGCGUAGUCGAUGGGAAACAGGUUAAUAUUCCUGUACUUGGUGUUACUGCGAAGGGGGGACGGAGAAGGCUAUGUUGGCCGGGCGACGGUUGUCCCGGUUUAAGCGUGUAGGCUGGUUUUCCAGGCAAAUCCGGAAAAUCAAGGCUGAGGCGUGAUGACGAGGCACUACGGUGCUGAAGCAACAAAUGCCCUGCUUCCAGGAAAAGCCUCUAAGCAUCAGGUAACAUCAAAUCGUACCCCAAACCGACACAGGUGGUCAGGUAGAGAAUACCAAGGCGCUUGAGAGAACUCGGGUGAAGGAACUAGGCAAAAUGGUGCCGUAACUUCGGGAGAAGGCACGCUGAUAUGUAGGUGAAGCGACUUGCUCGUGGAGCUGAAAUCAGUCGAAGAUACCAGCUGGCUGCAACUGUUUAUUAAAAACACAGCACUGUGCAAACACGAAAGUGGACGUAUACGGUGUGACGCCUGCCCGGUGCCGGAAGGUUAAUUGAUGGGGUUAGCGCAAGCGAAGCUCUUGAUCGAAGCCCCGGUAAACGGCGGCCGUAACUAUAACGGUCCUAAGGUAGCGAAAUUCCUUGUCGGGUAAGUUCCGACCUGCACGAAUGGCGUAAUGAUGGCCAGGCUGUCUCCACCCGAGACUCAGUGAAAUUGAACUCGCUGUGAAGAUGCAGUGUACCCGCGGCAAGACGGAAAGACCCCGUGAACCUUUACUAUAGCUUGACACUGAACAUUGAGCCUUGAUGUGUAGGAUAGGUGGGAGGCUUUGAAGUGUGGACGCCAGUCUGCAUGGAGCCGACCUUGAAAUACCACCCUUUAAUGUUUGAUGUUCUAACGUUGACCCGUGAUCCGGGUUGCGGACAGUGUCUGGUGGGUAGUUUGACUGGGGCGGUCUCCUCCUAAAGAGUAACGGAGGAGCACGAAGGUUGGCUAAUCCUGGUCGGACAUCAGGAGGUUAGUGCAAUGGCAUAAGCCAGCUUGACUGCGAGCGUGACGGCGCGAGCAGGUGCGAAAGCAGGUCAUAGUGAUCCGGUGGUUCUGAAUGGAAGGGCCAUCGCUCAACGGAUAAAAGGUACUCCGGGGAUAACAGGCUGAUACCGCCCAAGAGUUCAUAUCGACGGCGGUGUUUGGCACCUCGAUGUCGGCUCAUCACAUCCUGGGGCUGAAGUAGGUCCCAAGGGUAUGGCUGUUCGCCAUUUAAAGUGGUACGCGAGCUGGGUUUAGAACGUCGUGAGACAGUUCGGUCCCUAUCUGCCGUGGGCGCUGGAGAAUUGAGGGGGGCUGCUCCUAGUACGAGAGGACCGGAGUGGACGCAUCACUGGUGUUCGGGUUGUCAUGCCAAUGGCACUGCCCGGUAGCUAAAUGCGGAAGAGAUAAGUGCUGAAAGCAUCUAAGCACGAAACUUGCCCCGAGAUGAGUUCUCCCUGACUCCUUGAGAGUCCUGAAGGAACGUUGAAGACGACGACGUUGAUAGGCCGGGUGUGUAAGCGCAGCGAUGCGUUGAGCUAACCGGUACUAAUGAACCGUGAGGCUUAACCU